Molecule: ribosomal RNA, 168 nt
Filed under: uncultured bacterium
Lineage: Bacteria
Description: partial 16S ribosomal RNA
Rfam family: Bacterial small subunit ribosomal RNA
Source: RNAcentral
GCUGGAUUCGCUAGUAAUCGCGCAUCAGCCAUGGCGCGGUGAAUACGUUCCCGGGCCUUGUACACACCGCCCGUCAAGCCAUGGGAGCCGGGGGUGCUUGAAGUGCGUCGCCGUGAGGCGCGCCCUAGAGCGAGACCGGUGACUGGGGCUAAGUCGUAACAAGGUACC